RNAcentral lists this ribosomal RNA (554 nucleotides) under uncultured bacterium. Its description in RNAcentral is "partial 16S ribosomal RNA". It matches the Rfam family "Bacterial small subunit ribosomal RNA", at positions 355 to 902 of the family's 1533-position model. The record is from RNAcentral.
UGGGGAAUUUUGGACAAUGGGGGCAACCCUGAUCCAGCAAUGCCGCGUGUGUGAAGAAGGCCUUCGGGUUGUAAAGCACUUUUGUCCGGAAAGAAAACGCCGUGGUUAAUACCCGUGGCGGAUGACGGUACCGGAAGAAUAAGCACCGGCUAACUACGUGCCAGCAGCCGCGGUAAUACGUAGGGUGCAAGCGUUAAUCGGAAUUACUGGGCGUAAAGCGUGCGCAGGCGGUCCGCUAAGACAGAUGUGAAAUCCCUGGGCUUAACCUGGGAACUGCAUUUGUGACUGGCGGGCUAGAGUAUGGCAGAGGGGGGUAGAAUUCCACGUGUAGCAGUGAAAUGCGUAGAGAUGUGGAGGAAUACCGAUGGCGAAGGCAGCCCCCUGGGCCAAUACUGACGCUCAUGCACGAAAGCGUGGGGAGCAAACAGGAUUAGAUACCCUGGUAGUCCACGCCCUAAACGAUGUCAACUAGUUGUCGGGUCUUCAUUGACUUGGUAACGUAGCUAACGCGUGAAGUUGACCGCCUGGGGAGUACGGUCGCAAGAUUAAAACUC